RNAcentral lists this ribosomal RNA (1655 nucleotides) under Photobacterium sp. 2_MG-2023. RNAcentral's name for it is "partial 23S ribosomal RNA". It matches the Rfam family "Bacterial large subunit ribosomal RNA", at positions 593 to 2236 of the family's 2925-position model. Lineage: Bacteria; Pseudomonadati; Pseudomonadota; Gammaproteobacteria; Vibrionales; Vibrionaceae. The record is from RNAcentral.
GUGACUGCGUACCUUUUGUAUAAUGGGUCAGCGACUUAAUUUCAGUAGCAAGGUUAACCGUAUAGGGGAGCCGUAGGGAAACCGAGUCUUAACUGGGCGUACAGUUGCUGGGAUUAGACCCGAAACCAGGUGAUCUAGCCAUGGGCAGGUUGAAGGUGAGGUAACACUUACUGGAGGACCGAACCGACUAAUGUUGAAAAAUUAGCGGAUGACUUGUGGCUAGGGGUGAAAGGCCAAUCAAACCUGGAGAUAGCUGGUUCUCCCCGAAAGCUAUUUAGGUAGCGCCUCGGACGAAUACUACUGGGGGUAGAGCACUGUUAAGGCUAGGGGGUCAUCCCGACUUACCAACCCUUUGCAAACUCCGAAUACCAGUAAGUACUAUCCGGGAGACACACGGCGGGUGCUAACGUCCGUCGUGGAGAGGGAAACAACCCAGACCGCCAGCUAAGGUCCCAAAGUAUCACUAAGUGGGAAACGAUGUGGGAAGGCUCAGACAGCCAGGAUGUUGGCUUAGAAGCAGCCAUCAUUUAAAGAAAGCGUAAUAGCUCACUGGUCGAGUCGGCCUGCGCGGAAGAUUUAACGGGGCUAAGUGAUACACCGAAGCUGCGGCAAUGCGAUUUAUCGUAUUGGGUAGGGGAGCGUUCUGUAAGCGGUUGAAGGUGUGCUGUAAGGCAUGCUGGACGUAUCAGAAGUGCGAAUGCUGACAUGAGUAACGACAAAGGGGGUGAAAAACCCCCUCGCCGGAAGACCAAGGGUUCCUGUCCAACGUUAAUCGGGGCAGGGUAAGUCGACCCCUAAGGCGAGGCCGAAAGGCGUAGUCGAUGGGAAACGGGUUAAUAUUCCCGUACUGCUUAUUAUUGCGAUGGGGGGACGGAGAAGGCUAGGUGGGCCAGGCGACGGUUGUCCUGGUUCAAGGGUGUAGGCUGCAGAAUUAGGCAAAUCCGGUUCUGCACUAAGGCUGAGACCCGAUGUCGAGUCACCACGGUGAUGAAGUCAUUGAUGCCAUGCUUCCGGGAAAAGCCUCUAAGCUUCAGAUAAUAAGCAAUCGUACCCCAAACCGACACAGGUGGUCAGGUAGAGAAUACCAAGGCGCUUGAGAGAACUCGGGUGAAGGAACUAGGCAAAAUGGUACCGUAACUUCGGGAGAAGGUACGCUCCUGGCGGUGAAGUCCCUUGCGGAUGGAGCUGCCGGGAGUCGCAGAUACCAGGUGGCUGCAACUGUUUAUUAAAAACACAGCACUGUGCAAAAUCGAAAGAUGACGUAUACGGUGUGACGCCUGCCCGGUGCCGGAAGGUUAAUUGAUGGGGUUAUCUUCGGAGAAGCUCUUGAUCGAAGCCCCGGUAAACGGCGGCCGUAACUAUAACGGUCCUAAGGUAGCGAAAUUCCUUGUCGGGUAAGUUCCGACCUGCACGAAUGGCGUAAUGAUGGCCACGCUGUCUCCACCCGAGACUCAGUGAAAUUGAAAUCGCAGUGAAGAUGCUGCGUACCCGCGGCUAGACGGAAAGACCCCGUGAACCUUUACUACAGCUUGGCACUGAACAUUGACCCUACAUGUGUAGGAUAGGUGGGAGGCUUCGAAGCAGGUACGCCAGUAUCUGUGGAGCCGUCCUUGAAAUACCACCCUUGUCGUGUUGAUGUUCUAACGUCGCCCCGU